This 92-nucleotide ribosomal RNA is filed under the name Oberonioides maingayi. RNAcentral's name for it is "Liparis maingayi partial 18S ribosomal RNA". It matches the Rfam family "Eukaryotic small subunit ribosomal RNA", at positions 1740 to 1831 of the family's 1831-position model. Lineage: Eukaryota; Viridiplantae; Streptophyta; Magnoliopsida; Asparagales; Orchidaceae. The record is from RNAcentral.
UGACUCUGCGAAAAGUCCAUUGAACCUUAUCAUUUAGAGGAAGGAGAAGUCGUAACAAGGUUUCCGUAGGUGAACCUGCGGAAGGAUCAUUG